AUGGGACCCUCCAAGACCUGCACCCAGACCAUUUUUCCAGAUUCGCCACCACCUACUGCGUCACUCAAAGCCACACACACCCCUUCCCCACAGGCGCAGGUCCUGGCGCAGCUGCAGGGCUCCAUGCCUUUUCUCUGGCUGGCUCCUCUGCCCAGUGCCCGCCCCCGCCCCAGCUCCACCAUGCGGAAAAGAAAAGAAAAGGAUAUCACCCCACUCCACGCCUGGGAUGACUUCUUCCCCAGCUCCGAUCGCUUUGCCUGGCCGGACUUCAGGGACAUUUGCAAAUGGAACAACCACGUGCUGAGCAACCUGCUCUGUUGCCAGACCAACUACCUGGUGGUGGCUGCCAUGAUGAUUUCCGUCGUGGGGUUUCUGAGUCCCUUCAACAUGAUCCUGGGAGGAAUCGUGGUGGUGCUGGCGUUCACAGUGUUUGCGUGAGCAGCCCACAAUAAAGACAUCCUUCGCCGGAUGAAGAAGCGCCACCCCACGACGUUCCUUAUGGUGGUCAUGUUCACCAGCGAUUUCCUUAUAUCCAUGUUUGGAGGAGUCAUGGUCUUUGUGUUUGGCAUCACUUUUCCUUGGUUGUUGAUGUUUAUCCAUGCAUCGUUGAGACUGUGGAACCUCAGGAACACACUGGAGAAUAAAAUGGAAGUAAUAGGUUUGAAGAGGACACCAACGGGCAUUGUCCUGGAUGCCCUACAACAGCAGGAAGAAGGCCUCAACAGACUCACUGACUAUCAGCAAAGUGAAGGAAGAAACAUAACUGACCUGAGAUGGGGUUGCAGCAGAAAUUGAGUUGCAGUUUGCCCUUGUCCGGACCUACUUUCUGCUUGAGUUUUUGAAAUAGGAGGUGCAGGUACCACCCAAUUAUCUAUGGCAGCAUGCAUGUAUAGGCCGAACUAUUAUCAGCUGUGAUGUUUCAGAGAGAAGGCCUCAGAAACUGAAAAAGAACCACCACCCUCCUAUUAUGUCUGAAGUUUCACGUGUGUUUAUGAAAUCUAAUGGGAAAUGGAUCACACUAUUUCUUUAAGGGAAUACAAAAUAAAUAAAUAAAUAAAAGAAGUAUGGCUUUUACAGCAACAAUACUGUCAUAGGAAUAAAAAAAUCAUUGUAAAGUAUCAAGACAAUACAAGUAAAUGAAAAGGCUGCUUAAGUAGAUGACAUCAUGUGUUAUCCUGUUCCUAAUCCCCUAGAAUUGUAAUGUGUGCGAUAUAAAUUAGUUUUUGUUAUUCUCCUUUAAAAAUCAAAGAUGGUCUCUAUCACUUUGCCACCUGUUUGAUGUGCGUGGAAACUGGUUAAGCCAGUUGUUUAUAUUUCAUUUACAAAUCUAAAGAGAGCUGUGUAGGAUAUUUUGUUAAAUUUUUGAGAUGAUAGUAAUGUGUUUUCACCAGCAAGUAUUUGUUGCAAACUUAAUGUCAUUUUCCUUAAGAUGGUGACAGCUAUGUAACCUGUAGUAUUCUGGACAGACUUGUUAAAAAAUAAACAGACAAAAAGAAAAAUAAAACAAAACUUGAGUUCUGUUUAUCUUGCACACUUUUUGUUGUUACAGUGAAAACAAAAACGGCCCAAGAAAAUAUUUCCCAUUUUUUCAUUUUUUAGUUUAUAACUGGAACAUUUAGAAAGAAGGAAAUGAAUGUGCAUUUUAUCAAUUCCUUAGGGGCACAAGGAGGACGAUAAUAGUAGAUCUUUUGAAAUUUGAACAACAUCUUUAGAUAACCAAGCAAAGACUUUAAAAAAUUGUAAUGAAAAUGGAAAACAGCUACUGUAGCUCAUAAAAAUUUUAGAUAGCUAUUGCUACAACCAUAUGCUUUUACAGCUAGACAUUAAAAUUAUGAUAGCAUGAGUUCAUACAUUCGAUUACUUUUCCUCCCUUUCUCUU
Molecule: RNA transcript, 1879 nt
Organism: Mandrillus leucophaeus (drill)
Lineage: Eukaryota; Metazoa; Chordata; Mammalia; Primates; Cercopithecidae
Gene name: PRA1 family protein 3 pseudogene
Exons: 2
Source: RefSeq, a predicted model, not a curated record